GAUAUUAGAAGACAAACUUGAAUUACUUCAUAUGAACUUUAUUUCAUUUUAUAUGAAGUAAUUCAAGUUUGUCUUCUAAUCUUUUCAUCU
RNAcentral lists this microRNA precursor (90 nucleotides) under Paramuricea clavata. Lineage: Eukaryota; Metazoa; Cnidaria; Anthozoa; Malacalcyonacea; Plexauridae. The record is from RNAcentral.